This 502-nucleotide ribosomal RNA is filed under the name uncultured bacterium. RNAcentral describes it as "partial 16S ribosomal RNA". It matches the Rfam family "Bacterial small subunit ribosomal RNA", at positions 30 to 523 of the family's 1533-position model. The record is from RNAcentral.
AUUGAACGCUGGCGGCAGGCUUAACACAUGCAAGUCGAGCGGGGUAAUGGUGCUUGCACUAUCACUUAGCGGCGGACGGGUGAGUAAUGCUAGGAAUCUGCCUAUUAGUGGGGGACAACAUCUCGAAAGGGAUGCUAAUACCGCAUACGUCCUACGGGAGAAAGCAGGGGAUCACUUGUGACCUUGCGCUAAUAGAUGAGCCUAAGUCGGAUUAGCUAGUUGGUGGGGUAAAGGCCUACCAAGGCGACGAUCUGUAGCGGGUCUGAGAGGAUGAUCCGCCCCACGGGGACUGAGACACGGCCCAGACUCCUACGGGAGGCAGCAGUGGGGAAUAUUGGACAAUGGGGGGAACCCUGAUCCAGCCAUGCCGCGUGUGUGAAGAAGGCCUUAUGGUUGUAAAGCACUUUAAGCGAGGAGGAGGCUCUUUUGGUUAAUACCCAGAAUGAGUGGACGUUACUCGCAGAAUAAGCACCGGCUAACUCUGUGCCAGCCGCCGCCGUAA